GCAAACUUGGUCAUUUAGAGGAAGUAAAAGUCGUAACAAGGUUUCCGUAGGUGAACCUGCGGAAGGAUCAUUACCGAAUCGUCAAACACGGGUUGUUGCUGGCCUCCAAACGGGGGCAUGUGCACGCUCUGUUUACACAUCCACUCACACCCGUGCACCCUCUGUAGUUCUGUGGUUUGGGAGACCUGUCUCCCUUCCGCAGCUCUACGUCUUUACACACACGCCGUAGCAACGUCUCAUAGAAUGUUUUUCUGCGUUCAACGCAAUACAAUACAACUUUCAGCAACGGAUCUCUUGGCUCUCGCAUCGAUGAAGAACGCAGC
RNAcentral lists this unclassified non-coding RNA (323 nucleotides) under uncultured fungus. RNAcentral's name for it is "partial contains small subunit ribosomal RNA, internal transcribed spacer 1, and 5.8S ribosomal RNA". The stretch from base 1 to 73 matches the Rfam family "Eukaryotic small subunit ribosomal RNA", at positions 1759 to 1831 of the family's 1831-position model. Lineage: Eukaryota; Fungi. The record is from RNAcentral.